GUCUCUUUUUUUUUAUGUUUUUAUUUACAUAUUUUAUUUCUAGAGAGCUGUCCCUCCCACAAUGACCAGACGAUGGAAGUUUGUUUGCAUUCCCCGCCUCCCCACUACUACUACGGCUCUACGAGUAGUAGUCAUACCUUAUUAUUGGAGUAGCAUAGUUUGACGAAGUAUUGCAGUCGGUAAUUUUGCUGCGACUCCUGAGAGAGAUUCACCAAAAUCUUUUGUAUCUGCUUCUGCUUUUGCUUUGCUCUCAAGUCUUCAAGAGAAGAGCUCUGCAUAACUUGGGAUUAUUAUCGGCGGCCUGCUACAUUUG
This is a non-coding RNA of Camellia sinensis, 313 nucleotides long. Lineage: Eukaryota; Viridiplantae; Streptophyta; Magnoliopsida; Ericales; Theaceae. The record is from RefSeq and is a predicted model, not a curated record.